RNAcentral lists this ribosomal RNA (429 nucleotides) under Actinomycetes bacterium. RNAcentral's name for it is "Actinobacteria bacterium partial 16S ribosomal RNA". It matches the Rfam family "Bacterial small subunit ribosomal RNA", at positions 355 to 776 of the family's 1533-position model. The record is from RNAcentral. Lineage: Bacteria; Bacillati; Actinomycetota; Actinomycetes.
UGGGGAAUUUUGGACAAUGGGCGCAAGCCUGAUCCAGCCAUGCCGCGUGCGGGAAGAAGGCCUUCGGGUUGUAAACCGCUUUUGUCAGGGAAGAAAAGGUUCUGGCUAAUACCUGGGACUCAUGACGGUACCUGAAGAAUAAGCACCGGCUAACUACGUGCCAGCAGCCGCGGUAAUACGUAGGGUGCAAGCGUUAAUCGGAAUUACUGGGCGUAAAGCGUGCGCAGGCGGUUAUGCAAGACAGAGGUGAAAUCCCCGGGCUCAACCUGGGAACUGCCUUUGUGACUGAAUGGCUAGAGUACGGUAGAGGGGGAUGGAAUUCCGCGUGUAGCAGUGAAAUGCGUAGAUAUGCGGAGGAACACCGAUGGCGAAGGCAAUCCCCUGGACCUGUACUGACGCUCAUGCACGAAAGCGUGGGGAGCAAACAGG